ACCCUUGCAGCAGUGCUUCUUGGUACC
RNAcentral lists this non-coding RNA (27 nucleotides) under Homo sapiens (human). Lineage: Eukaryota; Metazoa; Chordata; Mammalia; Primates; Hominidae. The record is from RNAcentral.